GACGAACGCUGGCGGCGUGCUUAACACAUGCAAGUCGAACGGAAAGGCCCCUUUGGGGGUCCUCUAGUGGCGGACGGGUGCGUAACACGUGGGUAACCUGCCCUUGACAUCGUGAUAACUUCAGGAAACUGGGGCUAAUACCGGUAAGGAAUCCUUGCUGCUAGGUGGGGGUUGGAAAGCUUCGGCUGUCUUGGAUGGACUCGCGGCUUAUCAGCUGGUUGGUGCGGUAGUGGCUUACCAAGGCUUGGACGGGUAGACGCACUGAGAGAGCGACCGGCCAUCUUGGCACUGAGAGACGGCACAGACUCCUACUGUAGGCAGCAGUGGGGAAUAUUGCACCAUGGGCGGAAGCCUGAUGCAGCAGCGCCGCGGGCGGGAUGACGGCCUUCGGGUUGUAGACCGCUUUCAGCAGGGGCGAAGCUUGUUGUGACGGUACCUGCAGAAGAAGCACCGGCUAACUACGUG
This 465-nucleotide ribosomal RNA is filed under the name uncultured bacterium. RNAcentral describes it as "partial 16S ribosomal RNA". It matches the Rfam family "Bacterial small subunit ribosomal RNA", at positions 28 to 507 of the family's 1533-position model. The record is from RNAcentral.